AGGAGAUGCAGUAGAGGUCAGGUGUUUCCCAUCCACAGCUUUGUCUGAACAGUGUGGGGUGUGUGGUGGGUGUCUACGUGAGUGUACAUCUUCAUGUAUACACAUGCACAACCCAUGCACACAUACUUCGGAAGUCCUCCCUUGUGUGUCCAUUCUGUAGUAGAUAAUGUUUAUUUAAGAGCAUGGUACAACUUAAAUCAAUAUAGCAAUGACUUUGUUUCUAAAAUCGUUUCAAUGUUUUUAGAAAUGUGAAUGACUAUACCUGGUAAAGUAAUGUUGGAUCAAUAUAUUUUCACUUCUUCUUCUACUGUUUUUUUUGGUGAGGAAGAUUGGUUCUGAGCUAACAUCUGUGCCAACCUUCCUCUAUUUCGUAUGUGGGACGCUGCCACAGCAUGGCUUGAUGAGCAAUGUGUAGGUCCACGCCCAGGAUCCAAACCCGUAAGCCCUGGGCCUCUGACAUGCAGUGCAUGAACUUAACCUCUAUGCCACCAGGCUGGCCGCUAUUUUCAUUUUUUUGAGUAUGACCUUAAUAAAAUUAAGGCUGGGUGGUCUCACAGGAAAAAACAUUCAGGUCUCUCGUUUAGACUGGGUUCAUCUCAAAACGUAGGAAAAAUAAUGUGAACUCAACCUGUUUCCUAAAGAGAGUUGGUCAACAACAUCUUUACACACAGAGACUGGUUUUUCAAUAUUUAAAGAGCAGUUACCUGGAUCUCUUAUGUCCCAUAAUCAAAUAGAAAUAGAAGACCAAAUACUGUGACAUAAGGCAAACAUUAGCAGUAAGAAUAAAUCGAUGUUUUCUUUUUCAUCUCAGUUCCAUGUCUGGAUUUAUAACAUUGCCUUCCCUCCAUUUUGUUUUUCGAUUUCUUCUAUCUCCAUCCUUUUUCUCCCUUCUCCUGGAAGUCAGCUCCUCAUAGUCAUUUUAUGGAAUAAAUUGUAACAUGAAGAGCAUCUUCAAGAAAUUAUAUCCUACGGCCUUUCUUAAGGUGUACUCUUGAAAACAUCUUAUAUUUGGAUAAUUUUAUUCCUUUUAUUUAAAACUUCAAAACCAAGUAUUUAUCUUUUAAUGGGAGAAAUUUCAGAGUGUGCUUCCAGGACUGAAACUGUUAGGUCGUAGUGAGUACAUGCCUUAAUUUUCGUGAGCGCUAUUGUAUUCUCCAGAACAUCCACGCCUGUUUACAUUUCCAGCAGGAGUGUGAAGGGUUCCAGUUUCCUCACAUUCUGACCAAC
Molecule: long non-coding RNA, 1227 nt
Filed under: Equus caballus (horse)
Lineage: Eukaryota; Metazoa; Chordata; Mammalia; Perissodactyla; Equidae
Description: lncRNA (ENSECAG00000050027.1)
Source: RNAcentral